Molecule: small RNA, 72 nt
Filed under: Xanthomonas floridensis
Lineage: Bacteria; Pseudomonadati; Pseudomonadota; Gammaproteobacteria; Lysobacterales; Lysobacteraceae
Description: sX9 sRNA
Rfam family: Xanthomonas sRNA sX9
Source: RNAcentral
AUAGACCACUCGUACACUCCAGCUCCCCGCGUCCGCACUCACCUGACGACCGCUCGCCACGUUUUGGUAGCC